Molecule: RNA transcript, 1206 nt
Organism: Mus musculus (house mouse)
Lineage: Eukaryota; Metazoa; Chordata; Mammalia; Rodentia; Muridae
Gene name: predicted gene 8709
Exons: 1
Source: RefSeq, marked provisional
CAUCUUCUUGUGCAAUGCCAGCCUUGUCCCGUAGACAAACUGGUGAAGGUCGGUGUGAUUGGAUUUGGCCGUAUUGGGCUCCUGGUUACCAGGGCUGCAUUCUGCUCUACACUUGGCACACUGGAGAUUGUUGCCAUCAACAGCCUCUUCAUUGACAUCAACUACAUGGUCUAUAUGUUCCAGUAGGACUCCACCAAUGGCAAAUUCAACAGAACAGUCAAGGCUGAGAAUGGGAAUCUUAUCAUCAACGGGAAGCCCAUCACCAUCUUCCAGGAGCGAGAUCCCACUAACAUCAAAUGGGGUGAUGCUGGUGCUGAGUAUGUUAUGGAGUCUACUGGCGUCUUCACCACCAUGGAGAAGGCUGGGGCCCACUUGAAGGGUGGGGCCAAAAGGGUCAUCAUCUUCGCCACCCCUUCUGCCAAUGCCCCAAUGUUUGUGAAGGGUUUGAACUAUGAGAAAUAUGACAACUCACUCAACAUUGUCAGUAAUGCAUCAUAUACCACCAACUGUUUAGCCUCCUGGGGCCAAGGCUAUCCAUGACACCUUUAGCAUCGUAGAAGAGCUCAUGACCACGGUCUAUGCCGUAACUACCAUUCAGAAGACUGUGGAUGGCCCCUCUGGAAAGCUGUGGCGUGAUGGUCGUGGGGCUGCCCAGAACAUCAUCCCUUCAUUCACUGGUGCAGCGAAAGCUGUGGGCAAGGUUAUCCCAGAGCUGAGCAGGAAGCUCACUGGCAUGGACUUCUGUGUUCCUAACACCAAUGUAUCCAUUGUGGAUCUGACAUGCCUCCUGGAGAAACCUGCCAAGCAUGAUGACAACAAGAAGGUGGUGAAGCAGGCAUCUGAAGGCCCACUAAAGGGCAUCCUGAGCUACAUUGAGGAAAAGGUUGUCUCCUGCAACUUCAACAGUAACUCCCACUCUUUCAUCUUUGAUGCUGGGGCUGGCAUUGCUCUCAAUGACAACUUUGUAAAGGUCAUUUCCCGGUAUGACAAUGAAUACAGCUACAACAACAGGGUGGUGGACCUCACAGCCUACAUGGCCUCCAAGGAGUAAGAAACCCUAGACCACCCACCCAAGGCCUACCUGUCCCAACUUGGCCCCCGUCACUGAGCAUCUCCCUCACAAUUUCCGUCCCAGACCUCCAUAACAGGAGGGGCCCAGGGAGCCCUCCCUAGUCUCUUGAAUAUCAUCAAUAAAGUUUGAUGCAC